AUAAAUACAGAAGGGGCAGUUAACUAUUUAGCCCAAUUACGAGUACAUCCAAUCACAUACUCGAGUCGUCAGCAUCUGCUAAAUUAUUAAUUCAGAAUAAAGCGGUAAAAUUCUGUACAAGUUUGAUGAUUCAGACAAAGGUCUCAAAGCUUGUGAAGCAGGCGUCUUCAGGCCAAAGAUAGGUCUUCAUGCUUCAAUGCAACCUCACUUGCGACCCAACCUUGCCAAAUGCUGCUGAUGCUUUGCAGCAGCUGCUUUAUCAGCAGCUUCACGCUUCAGAGCCCUUUUAGCCCUUCGGCCCACUGCUGGCGACUCUCUUGCAGCUGCAGUUUCUUUCUUUCUAGGCUGGCGAGAUGGUCCCGCACCAGAGUCUUGGGUAUUGGGGCGAGGAAUUGGCCUAGCUUCCUGCCUUCCUGCUCGAACAUAACCAUUGUCCCCCCAUCUUCUGU
Molecule: long non-coding RNA, 449 nt
Filed under: Coffea arabica (coffee)
Lineage: Eukaryota; Viridiplantae; Streptophyta; Magnoliopsida; Gentianales; Rubiaceae
Description: long non-coding RNA (CARA_LNC005695)
Source: RNAcentral